Molecule: unclassified non-coding RNA, 327 nt
Filed under: soil metagenome
Description: partial contains 5.8S ribosomal RNA, internal transcribed spacer 2, and large subunit ribosomal RNA
Rfam family: 5.8S ribosomal RNA (bases 5-118)
Source: RNAcentral
GAUGAGAACGCAGCGAAAUGCGAUAAGUAAUGCGAAUUGCAGAAUCCGUGAGUCAUCGAAUCUUUGAACGCACAUUGCGCCCUCUGGUAUUCCGGGGGGCAUGCCUGUCCGAGCGUCAUUACAACCCUCAAGCUCAGCUUGGUGUUGGGCCCCGCCGCCCCGGCGGGCCCUAAAGUCAGUGGCGGUGCCGUCCGGCUCCGAGCGUAGUAAUUCUUCUCGCUCUGGAGGCCCGGUCGUGUGCUCGCCAGCAACCCCCAAUUUUUUUCAGGUUGACCUCGGAUCAGGUAGGGAUACCCGCUGAACUUAAGCAUAUCAAUAAGCGGAGGA